CAGGAUGAACGCUGGCGGCGUAGCCUAACACAUGCAAGUCGAGCGAGAAAUCGCUCAAUGAUCUUCGGGUGAUUGAGCGAUGGAAAGCGGCGGACGGGUGAGUAACGCGUAGGUAACCUGCCCCAUACAGAGGGAUAGCCACUGGAAACGGUGAUUAAUACCUCAUAACACCGGAAUAUCGCAUGGUAUACCGGUCAAAGUUUUUCGGUAUGGGAUGGACCUGCGUCUGAUUAGCUGGUUGGUGAGGUAACGGCUCACCAAGGCGACGAUCAGUAGCGACCUGAGAGGGUGAUCGGCCACAUUGGAACUGAGACACGGUCCAAACUCCUACGGGAGGCAGCAGUGGGGAAUAUUGCACAAUGGGCGCAAGCCUGAUGCAGCAACGCCGCGUGAACGAAGAAGGCUCUUGGGUCGUAAAGUUCUGUUCUGAGGGAAGAAGAUCUGACGGUACCUCAGGAGAAAGCCCCGGCUAACUACGUGCCAGCAGCUGC
RNAcentral lists this ribosomal RNA (491 nucleotides) under uncultured bacterium. Its description in RNAcentral is "bacterial SSU rRNA". It matches the Rfam family "Bacterial small subunit ribosomal RNA", at positions 25 to 518 of the family's 1533-position model. The record is from RNAcentral.